CCUACGGGGGGCUGCAGUGAGGAAUAUUGGUCAAUGGGCGCGAGCCUGAACCAGCCAAGUAGCGUGAAGGAUGACUGCCCUACGGGUUGUAAACUUCUUUUAUAAAGGAAUAAAGUUAGGCACGUGUGCCUUUUUGUAUGUACUUUAUGAAUAAGGAUCGGCUAACUCCGUGCCAGCAGCCGCGGUAAUACGGAGGAUUCGAGCGUUAUCCGGAUUUAUUGGGUUUAAAGGGAGCGUAGAUGGUUUGUUAAGUCAGUUGUGAAAGUUUGCGGCUCAACCGUAAAAUUGCAAUUGAUACUGGCAGUCUAGAGUACAGUUGAGGUAGGCGGAAUUCGUGGUGUAGCGGUGAAAUGCUUAGAUAUCACGAAGAACUCCGAUUGCGAAGGCAGCUUACUAAACUGCCACUGACAUUGAUGCUCGAAAGUGUGGGUAGCAAACAGGAUUAGAUACCCCUGUAGUC
Molecule: ribosomal RNA, 460 nt
Filed under: uncultured bacterium
Lineage: Bacteria
Description: partial 16S ribosomal RNA
Rfam family: Bacterial small subunit ribosomal RNA
Source: RNAcentral